RNAcentral lists this ribosomal RNA (553 nucleotides) under soil bacterium LD-p1-1. RNAcentral describes it as "bacterial SSU rRNA". It matches the Rfam family "Bacterial small subunit ribosomal RNA", at positions 355 to 896 of the family's 1533-position model. The record is from RNAcentral.
UAGGGAAUCUUCCGCAAUGNNCNNAAGUCGGACGGAGCAACGCCGCGUGAGUGAUGAAGGUUNUCGGAUCGUAAAACUCUGUUGUUAGGGAAGAACAAGUACCGUUCGAAUAGGGCGGUACCUUGACGGUACCUAACCAGAAAGCCACGGCUAACUACGUGCCAGCAGCCGCGGUAAUACGUAGGUGGCAAGCGUUGUCCGGAAUUAUUGGGCGUAAAGCGCGCGCAGGCGGUUUCUUAAGUCUGAUGUGAAAGCCCCCGGCUCAACCGGGGAGGGUCAUUGGAAACUGGGGAACUUGAGUGCAGAAGAGGAGAGUGGAAUUCCACGUGUAGCGGUGAAAUGCGUAGAGAUGUGGAGGAACACCAGUGGCGAAGGCGACUCUCUGGUCUGUAACUGACGCUGAGGCGCGAAAGCGUGGGGAGCGAACAGGAUUAGAUACCCUGGUAGUCCACGCCGUAAACGAUGAGUGCUAAGUGUUAGAGGGUUUCCGCCCUUUAGUGCUGCAGCAAACGCAUUAAGCAUCUCCGCCUGGGGAUGUACGGUCGCAAGACUG